UAAAUACCGAUACAUGUUCUGUCUUCUGUGGCUUAGACCCAAAAUUCCCAAAUCCUCUGUUCCUUCGCCAACUGCCCAAGGCGAUUCCUCUCCCCAGAUGCGACUAUGAGCUCAGCGACAGCAACUCUUCACCAGAUUUUUCGUCUCUCCGGUGUCUACGACAGCGACUCCACCAAUGUAGCAGAAAUGGAGUGAAUGGCCGCCCUACUUGAAGUGGUUGGGCAGCUCUGCCAUCUGCCGAGCAUUCGGAGAUAUCAAAGAAAUGAAACCAGAUACUGGAGCUACGACUCUUUCAGGGUUGUUCAAGAACUGCAUCUGGUAGCAAUACUACAUUUAGCUUUUGGUGAUAUUACUUGUGCUUCUUUUUUCUGACUUACAAAUUUGGGUUUUAAAAAAAAAAUAACUCUGGAUAUGGUUGCCAUCGUUCUUUUUUGUGCAACUUUUCUGAAAUACUGAAUUGGUAAUGUGUCUGCUUAUUUACAUAUACAUAUCUAUGUGUGUGUGUAUAUAUAUAUAUUGAUUGCUUUGAUCCA
This is a long non-coding RNA of Cornus florida, 533 nucleotides long. RefSeq lists it as uncharacterized. NCBI's taxonomy places the organism in Eukaryota, Viridiplantae, Streptophyta, Magnoliopsida, Cornales, Cornaceae. The record is from RefSeq and is a predicted model, not a curated record. The transcript is spliced from 2 exons.